This 492-nucleotide ribosomal RNA is filed under the name uncultured bacterium. Its description in RNAcentral is "partial 16S ribosomal RNA". It matches the Rfam family "Bacterial small subunit ribosomal RNA", at positions 29 to 507 of the family's 1533-position model. The record is from RNAcentral.
AGUGAACGCUGGCGGUAGGCCUAACACAUGCAAGUCGAACGGCAGCACAGUAAGAGCUCGCCCUUACGGGUGGCGAGUGGCGGAUGGGUGAGGCAUACAUCGGAUACUUCUUUUUCGGGGGGGACAUCGUAGGGCAACUUACGCUAAUACCGCAUACGAUCAACGGCUGAAAUCAGGAGAUCUUCGGACCUUUCCCGAUAGUUGUAGCCGAUGUCGGAUUAGCUAGUUGGCUGGGUAAGGGCCUACCAAGGCAACGAUACGUAGCUGGUCUGAGAGGAUGAUCAGCCACACUGGAACUGAGACACGGUCCAGACUCCUACGGGAGGCAGCAGUGGGGAAUAUUGGGCAAUGGGCGCAAGCUUGAUCGAGCCAUGCCGCGUGGGUGAAGAAGGCCUUCGGGUUGUAAAACCCUUUUGUUGGGGAAGAACAGCAGCAGAUUAAUCCACGGAUGUUUUGACGGUACCCAAAGAAAAAGCACCGGCUAACUUCGUG